This 497-nucleotide ribosomal RNA is filed under the name uncultured bacterium. RNAcentral describes it as "partial 16S ribosomal RNA". It matches the Rfam family "Bacterial small subunit ribosomal RNA", at positions 28 to 507 of the family's 1533-position model. The record is from RNAcentral.
GACGAACGCUGGCGGCGUGCCUAAUACAUGCAAGUAGAACGCUGAAGAGAGGAGCUUGCUCUUCUUGGAUGAGUUGCGAACGGGUGAGUAACGCGUAGGUAACCUGCCUUGUAGCGGGGGAUAACUAUUGGAAACGAUAGCUAAUACCGCAUAACAAUGGAUGACACAUGUCAUUUAUUUGAAAGGGGCAAUUGCUCCACUACAAGAUGGACCUGCGUUGUAUUAGCUAGUAGGUGAGGUAAUGGCUCACCUAGGCGACGAUACAUAGCCGACCUGAGAGGAUGGUCGGCCGCACUGAGACUGAGACACGGCCCAGACUCCUACGGGAGGGAGCAGUAGGGAAUCUUCAGCAAUGGGGGCAACCCUGACCGAGCAACGCCGCGUGAGUGAAGAAGGUUUUCGGGUCGUAAAGCUCUGUUGUAAGUCAAGAACGGGUGUGAGAGUGGAAAGUUCACACUGUGACGGUAGCUUACCAGAAAGGGACGGCUAACUACGUG